CUCCCUGUGGCUCAGUUGGUAGAGCAUGGUGUUUGCAACGCCAGCAUGGUGUGUGCAACGCCAGGGUUGUGGGUUUGAUUCCCACAGGGGGC
RNAcentral lists this transfer RNA (92 nucleotides) under Salmo salar (Atlantic salmon). It matches the Rfam family "tRNA". Rfam says of the family: Transfer RNA (tRNA) molecules are approximately 80 nucleotides in length. Their secondary structure includes four short double-helical elements and three loops (D, anti-codon, and T loops). The record is from Rfam by way of RNAcentral. Lineage: Eukaryota; Metazoa; Chordata; Actinopteri; Salmoniformes; Salmonidae.